RNAcentral lists this non-coding RNA (198 nucleotides) under Clostridiaceae bacterium BL-3. Its description in RNAcentral is "T-box". It matches the Rfam family "T-box leader". Rfam says of the family: Uncharged tRNA acts as the effector for transcription antitermination of genes in the T-box leader family. T-boxes are found upstream of many aminoacyl-tRNA synthetase genes and some amino acid biosynthetic genes usually in Gram-positive bacteria. The anticodon of a specific tRNA base pairs to a specifier sequence within the T-box motif, and the NCCA acceptor tail of the tRNA base pairs to a conserved bulge in the T-box antiterminator hairpin. Lineage: Bacteria; Bacillati; Bacillota; Clostridia; Eubacteriales; Clostridiaceae. The record is from RNAcentral.
AUAAAAACUUGGAUAAGGAAUAGUAGGUAUGUUAGUAUUUUAAAGAGAGCGGUAAAAGAUGGGAAGCCGUAAAUACUGCAUGUUGAACUCGCCUUGGAGUUGCAGGCUGAAUUGAUAUAGUAGGCUGUGCCGGCAUAUGUCGUUAUUUAAUUGAGUACGAAUUUGGGUGGUACCGCGAACAGAUUUCUCGCCCCAUAG